RNAcentral lists this small RNA (745 nucleotides) under Oryza sativa Japonica Group (Japanese rice). Its description in RNAcentral is "sRNA Os02g0489700". Lineage: Eukaryota; Viridiplantae; Streptophyta; Magnoliopsida; Poales; Poaceae. The record is from RNAcentral.
CUGCGUUUGUUAAUUUCUGCCGUUCUGAUCCAGCAAGAUCAACCAAGUUGAUCCUACUUGUUCUUGUAAAGUUUGAUCCGUAAUACCUUGGAUUCUGACUUAAUGAAACAAGUAAAAACACAGUGUGAUCGUGAGCUUUCUGCAUUUGCAGUAGUAGCCUCAGUUCUUCGUUUUACCUUUUCUAGCAACUGUGUAACAUCAUUUAUCGUGAACACGGAUUCCUUUGUCAAUGACUCAACAUAAACAGAAGAAGUACCAACAUCUUCUCUAAUCUGAAAAUGUACGAGACGUAUCAGAACAGAAGCAGCCUACAUAAACAGAAGAAGUACCAACAUCUUCUCUAAUCUGAAAAUGUACGAGACCUAUAUAGCAAAUCAUGACGUACCUCUUUGAUGCGUGAAAACAGUAGUUCAAAAACACGAGGAGUCAGCCCCCUCUCUUUGCUGACCGUAUCGUCGGACAAGGCAGACAGUGGCCCCCACAUCGUGUAAGUCUUCCCACUACCAGUCUUACAAACGAAAAUUGAACUGUUGAAGCCAUCCAAACAAUUUUCCACUAGUGGUCGACCUACAAGCUGGAAGAUAUCCUCCUGCGUGGAGGCCUCAUCAGCGACCGAAUCGAAGGUGAACCCCUGCCCAUGUAUCUCGACGGAGCCAGGGCCGGUCUUCCGUACGCACACCUCCUUCCCGGCCCCCUCAUCCUCCUCCUCCGCGCGGCUCGGCGGACGCACCCUCACCACAACCUG